RNAcentral lists this ribosomal RNA (490 nucleotides) under uncultured bacterium. RNAcentral describes it as "bacterial SSU rRNA". It matches the Rfam family "Bacterial small subunit ribosomal RNA", at positions 21 to 507 of the family's 1533-position model. The record is from RNAcentral.
GGCUCAGAUUGAACGCUGGCGGCAUGCCUUACACAUGCAAGUCGAACGGCAGCACGGGGCAACCUGGUGGCGAGUGGCGAACGGGUGAGUAAUGCAUCGGAACGUGCCAUUGAGUGGGGGAUAACGUAGCGAAAGUUGCGCUAAUACCGCAUAUUCUGUGAGCAGGAAAGCAGGGGACCGCAAGGCCUUGCGCUCUUUGAGCGGCCGAUGUCAGAUUAGCUAGUUGGUGAGGUAACGGCUUACCAAGGCGACGAUCUGUAGCGGGGUCUGAGAGAAUGAUCCGCCACACUGGAACUGAGACACGGUCCAGACUCCUACGGGAGGCAGCAGUGGGGAAUUUUGGACAAUGGGCGCAAGCCUGAUCCAGCCAUGCCGCGUGAGUGAAGAAGGCCUUCGGGUUGUAAAGCUCUUUCGGCCGGGAAGAAAUCGCAUGGGUUAAUACCCUGUGUGGAUGACGGUACCGGAAUAAGAAGCACCGGCUAACUACGUG